This 497-nucleotide ribosomal RNA is filed under the name uncultured bacterium. RNAcentral's name for it is "partial 16S ribosomal RNA". It matches the Rfam family "Bacterial small subunit ribosomal RNA", at positions 28 to 507 of the family's 1533-position model. The record is from RNAcentral.
GAUGAACGCUGGCGGCGUGCCUAAUACAUGCAAGUCGAGCGAACAGACGCUGAGCUUGCUCCUUUCUCGUUAGCGGCGCACGUGUGAGUAACACGUAGGUCACCUCCCUAUAAGACUGGUAUAACUUCGAGAAACCGGAUCUAAUACCGGAUAAUAUUUCGAUCCGCAUUGUUCGUUAGUGAAUGAUGGCUUUGCUAUCACUUCUCGAUGCUUCUGCGCCGUAUUAGCUGGUUGGUAAGGUAACGGCUUACCACGGCAACGAUACGUAGACGACCUGAGAGGGUGAUAGGCCACACGGGAAGGGAGACGCGGUCAAGGCGCCUAAGGGAGGCAGCAGUAGGGAAUCGGACGCAAGGGGCGAAAGCAUGACGGAGCAACGCCGCGUGAGAUAUGAAGGUGUUCGGAUCGGAAAAAUCGGUUAUGAGGGAAGAACAAACGUGGAAGUAACUGUGCACGGCUUGACGGUAACUAAUCAGAAAGCCACGGCUAACUACGUG